This 387-nucleotide ribosomal RNA is filed under the name Chaetodipus baileyi. RNAcentral describes it as "partial 12S ribosomal RNA". It matches the Rfam family "Bacterial small subunit ribosomal RNA", at positions 796 to 1385 of the family's 1533-position model. The record is from RNAcentral. Lineage: Eukaryota; Metazoa; Chordata; Mammalia; Rodentia; Heteromyidae.
AUAGCCAUAAACACUACCAAGUAUGAAACAAACUUAGUCGCCAGAGAACUACAAGCAAUGGCUUAAAACUCAAAGGACUUGGCGGUGCUUUAUAUCCGUCUAGAGGAGCCUGUUCUGUAACCGAUAAACCCCGAUCUACCUUACCAUCUCUUGCUAAAUCAGUCUAUAUACCGCCAUCCUCAGCAAACCCUGAAAGGGAAUAAAAGUAAGCUCGAUUAUAUAAUGUAAAAAAGUUAGGUCAAGGUGUAACCUAUGAGAUGGGACGCAAUGGGCUACAUUUUCUUAUCAAGAACAUAACGAAACCUUAUUUGAAACAAUAAGACAAAGGAGGAUUUAGUAGUAAACUAAAAUUAGAGUGUUUAGUUGAAUAGAGCAAUGAAGCACGCA